ACGGUUUAAGUCUUUAAAGUUACAAGAACUCUGAUUCAGUUUAAGAUUGUCUCUCAAAAGAAAAGGUAGAUACUUAUAGAUGCAUUAAGUUGCUUCCCAAAAGAUACUUUUUAUUCAACUUACAAGUUUUUUUUGGUAACAUUAUAUCCUUCUUAAAAAAUACAAAAAGAAUAAUAACGCCAGGAAAGGAAUAAGGAAGUGAGUAGGUUUUUUUUUUGGUACAAGCUUAAGGAAAAAAUAAGUUCCUAGUUUGUUUUCUUUGAUGCAAAAGAUACGUCAACGACAAAUAUCGCGUAUGUAAGAUCAAUCGAGUGAAGAAAAACAAAUUUUCCAUUUUUAAGCAGAUAGACGUGAAGCGGGUGAAGUGAAUUUUAAAUCGAGUACCAUACUACCAACAUCUUCAGCCAGACUUCGACUGUGUUCGAAUUCGCUAAGGACGAACGUAACGUCGAACAAGAAAAAAUGUCCUGAUUCGACUUUUGCCAUUAUCUUCAGUGUGUGGAAUCGAUUUCUUGUUUGUUCUCAUUUCUUUUUUUUUUAAAAAAGUUCUUUUUGGUGUGUUUAUUUUUGUUUCACUCGGGUGAAUAUUUUCGAAAAGAGUGCGAAGUGAAAAGAAGUGCAGAACAGCACAUGCAUGGUUUCAAGUGCAAUUUUUCUUCAGCACGCACGAUUUUAUGAAUAAAGAAUAUUGUAAUUGAAUUCGAGAACGUAAAAGGCAAAGAAUAAAAGUGUUCAAAGUGAUUUUUUAAGUCUUUUUUUGUUUUUGUUUUUUCGUUGGAGUGUUUACAAAGUACCUGUAAGGAGUUGAAGAUUUACAAAGAGUUCCCUUAUUUGGAUCGCUGGUUUUUGCACAAAGUGGAUUUCAAAUAACGAAACAGAAAUUCAAACAAAAGCCUUAAUUCCGGUAAUCAAAUAACCAACAAAGGACUACACAGAGAAGAACUUUAUAAGCCA
Eupeodes corollae is the source of this 954-nucleotide long non-coding RNA. RefSeq lists it as uncharacterized. The record is from RefSeq and is a predicted model, not a curated record. The transcript is spliced from 3 exons. Lineage: Eukaryota; Metazoa; Arthropoda; Insecta; Diptera; Syrphidae.